Molecule: ribosomal RNA, 492 nt
Filed under: uncultured bacterium
Lineage: Bacteria
Description: partial 16S ribosomal RNA
Rfam family: Bacterial small subunit ribosomal RNA
Source: RNAcentral
AGUGAACGCUGGCGGUAGGCCUAACACAUGCAAGUCGAACGGCAGCACAGUAAGAGCUUGCUCUUACGGUUGGCGAGUGGCGGACGGGUGAGGAAUACAUCGGAAUCUACUUUUUCGUGGGGGAUAACGGAGGGAAACUUACGCUAAUACCGCAUACGACCUACGGGUGAAAGCAGUGGAUCUUCGGACCUUGCGCGAUUGAAUGAGCCGAUGUCGGAUUAGCUAGUUGGCGGGGUAAAGGCCCACCAAGGCGACGAUCCGUAGCUGGUCUGAGAGGAUGAUCAGCCACACUGGAACUGAGACACGGUCCAGACUCCUACGGGAGGCGGCAGUGGGGAAUAUUGGACAAUGGGCGCAAGCCUGAUCCAGCCAUACCGCGUGGGUGAAGAAGGCCUUCGGGUUGUAAAGCCCUUUUGUUGGGAAAGAAAAGCAGCAGGUUAAUACCCCGCUGUUCUGACGGUACCCAAAGAAUAAGCAACGGCUAACUUCGUG